This is a long non-coding RNA of Benincasa hispida (wax gourd), 3076 nucleotides long. RefSeq lists it as uncharacterized. NCBI's taxonomy places the organism in Eukaryota, Viridiplantae, Streptophyta, Magnoliopsida, Cucurbitales, Cucurbitaceae. The record is from RefSeq and is a predicted model, not a curated record.
GAUUGUUAUUACAAAUAAAUGAAAAACAACUUCAAAGUUGUUAGAAAUCAAUUACAUACAAGCUGUCUUUAUAUACAUUUUUGUAAUUACAUGUACAAGUAUGAGAGUGAAAAAAUUACAGAGUGGUCAAGAAAGCUAUCAGACUUAUCUUGUAAUAAUCUUUGUAACUCCCCGAAUAGAAUAUCAUCAGCUUCUCUGUGGACAUAGGCUAUCUUUGGCCGAACCACGUAAAACAUCGUGUUCAUCUUCUUCUCUGAUCUUCUUUACUUUAUCGUGUACCAUUUAGCCAUCGAUCGUGUACCUCAACACUUCCAUCGUGUAGACCAUCAUCGACUUCGAACCCCAUCGUCUAGACGAUCUUCAGUAAAGCCUUCAUCGUCUAGACAAAUCUUCCCUUAUCAUCUAGACGACUCCCUGCUUUACCUCCAAUCACAGUAGACCCCAGCAUCCAAGCGAUUUCCAGCAGCCUUCUCCCUCAGGUUCUCUCUUUCUUUUCUCUCGUUUCCUCUCUGCAACAAAGAAAAGAAAAGAAUAGUCAUUAAAGGUCUUCAAAUCUCAGAAGUGUUUAGUUCUAAUUUCGACCGUCAAAGUGUAGGGUGAAGAUUAUUCUUCAUAUGGAUUGUGCUUUCAGCACACUGGUUUGAGUUCAGUGUUUUUCAAUAGGUGGUAUCUGGUUUUCACCAUCGGGCUUGGUUUCAUUAAGCCCAAAGAUCAAAUUCUUUUUAAGUUAGUAGUGAAUUCUCAGCCCAAUUUUCAUAUCAAGCCCAUCAAAUACUACUUGAAGGAAGUUCCCACAGGAUUUUGUUCAAUAUGCUACUAACAAAAAAAUCAAAGUAAAAUCAUUCAAAUGCCAAGAAACCAAGAACAUUUAGAAACUCCUACUUCAACCAGCAUUUAGAAAUUAUUUAGGGGGAGGGAGGGGGGAUGCCUUAUAACCAACACAAAUUCACAACAUUUAGAAACUCCUAUUUUAACUAAGUCACUAUUCAAAUGUCAACAAGCCAACAAGAGAUCACUUAAAUAAAACAAACCCAACAAAGCAUUGAACAUAAAAUAAUAAUAAUAAUAAUAAUAAUAAUAAUCAUUUAAGAAGGAGGGGAUGCCUUAUAACCAUACAAAUUUACAACAUUUAGAAACUCUUACUGUAAUUAAAUCUCUACUCAAAUGCCAACAAGUUAAUAAGAACUGCCUCACAACAAAUGCCUAGAUUAAAAAAAAAAAAAAAAAAAAAGUGCACAUAUAACUCAAUUUCAAGCAAAUACCAACAAGUCCACAAUAGAGAUGUAUACAACUCAAGAAAUAUAAAAAAUAAUCUAACUAGAGUUUCGGUCCACUUUCGUGUUAAUUGAUUUUGUAAUACCUUGAUUUAUUAUGUAAUUAUGCAUUAUUUUAUUUUCGAUUGUUUUGAUAGGUUGGAAUUCAAGAUUUGAUUGACCAGCUCAAUUAAUUUUAAUUUAUUUAUUUUAAAUUAAUUGGUUGAUUUGAUUUGAUUUGUUUUGAGGAUGGAAGAUUUAAUUUAGUUUUGAAAUUUUGGGAUGUCAAGAUAUUGGAUAGGAUUUUAGUAAAUUUGAAUUUAUUUGGAUUUAUGUGGAUUUAUUUUGAUUUGGAUUUAGUUUAGGAAGGAAUUUGAGUAGGAAAAGGAAAAGGAAAUUAAAAAAAAAAAAACUUUUCAUAGGAGGGUUUAUUUGGGUUAAAAUGUGAAGGAAGAAAAAAAAAAACAGAGAAAACGAGAAAACUUAUUUCCCUCCUCUCUCUCCCCCUCUCAGGUUGCGUGUAGGAAAAAAAAAAAAAAAAAGGAGAAUAUCUCUCUCUCUCGCAUUCACGCAAGAUGGAACCACGCCCCCCGCCCCCCCCCGUCUUUGUUUCUUCCGUCUCGUCUUCAGACCCGUGGCGAUGCCUUCAAUGCCGCCUAGUCGCUGUCUCCUUCGCCCAAACCGCCCACUGCCUCCAACUGCUUCAUGUCGCCAACCGUCACAACGUCGUUCACAGCUCACAACGGUGCACCACCAUGACCUAGUCAUUGGUUCUACUCGACACAUCCCUCUGACCGUUUGUUUCUGGCACCCAACCGCUGUCCUCCACCAGUCACUGCCUUCCUUCGCCGUCAUUCGCUGGAUCUUGGUUGUGUUGGAGAUUUGGCUAAGAUUCUUGGGUCUUGAAAAUUUUCAUGGGGUAUUUCAAAUGCCCAUUAAUUUUUUAUCCAAUUGACUAAUAACCUCAUGUUUUGGUUCUAGGAUUUAAGUUUGAGAGUGUUUCGGGCAAGAUUUUUUUGGUGGGUUGGAAAGCGAGGAUUGGAAGAGGUUGUGGAUCUAACCACACUUGGGGCUUGAUUCAGGAUUCAAGGGUUUUACGUGGGUUAAAAUUGUUAAUUGGUUAGACAACAGUUUGAGGUAAGUGUCUUCCUACUGGUUCGCCUUUGAACCAGUCGUCCUUACUACUUGGACGAUAUAUUUUAGACUAAAUGGGCUGGUUAUUCUAGAUUACUUGGACUGUAAAAUUUUGACUAAUUGAACUGCAUGACUUAAUGAUAUUGACUGAAUGGACUGUUUUGACCAUGAUGUUAUGUAAAGUUGAUUGAGGAUGUACUGGUAAUUUUGUCCUUAAGAUAAACGAUUGAACAUAUAACAAAGGAGUUAUAUGUAAAUUGAUGCAUGCAAAGCUAUAAGGUUUUUGUUAGCUUUUCUUAUCUGGGCAGGUGUACACAUAUGACUGUAUAUGUGCACAUUAUGAAUGAUUGGUGGACCUUCAAGUUACACUAUGACUGAUGCAUGUUCCUUCGGGUUCAUGUUUACGACUGAUUCGUGGACCUUCAGAUUACAUACUAUGACUAAUGCAUGUUCCGUCAAGUUUAUUUACGACUGAUUUGUGUACCUCCAGGAUAUGACUGAUGCAUGUCCAUUCAGGAUUGUGUUUAUGACUGAUAGGUGACCUUCGCGAGCACUAUGACUGAUAUGAUAUGGGUGUAUACCAAUGUCUAGAUAAACUAGCUAGCAGGAAACAACGAGAAUGGAUUGGCAAGGGACCGAAGAGACUCGUGAUAGAGCCAUAGGAGACAAUAGAAAAUUCUUCCGCACAG